RNAcentral lists this ribosomal RNA (253 nucleotides) under uncultured bacterium. RNAcentral's name for it is "partial 16S ribosomal RNA". It matches the Rfam family "Bacterial small subunit ribosomal RNA", at positions 524 to 776 of the family's 1533-position model. The record is from RNAcentral.
UACGUAGGGUGCGAGCGUUAAUCGGAAUUACUGGGCGUAAAGCGUGCGCAGGCGGUUUUGUAAGCCAGAUGUGAAAUCCCCGGGCUUAACCUGGGAAUGGCAUUUGGGACUGCAAGGCUGGAGUGCGGCAGAGGAGACUGGAAUCCCUGGUGUAGCAGUGAAAUGCGUAGAUAUCCGGAGGAACACCGGUGGCGAAGGCGGCUUCCUGGACCGACACUGACGCUGAGGCGCGAAAGCUAGGGGAGCAAACGGG